Molecule: ribosomal RNA, 517 nt
Filed under: Klebsiella pneumoniae
Lineage: Bacteria; Pseudomonadati; Pseudomonadota; Gammaproteobacteria; Enterobacterales; Enterobacteriaceae
Description: bacterial LSU rRNA
Rfam family: Bacterial large subunit ribosomal RNA
Source: RNAcentral
CUUUUGUAUAAUGGGUCAGCGACUUAUAUUCUGUAGCAAGGUUAACCGUAUAGGGGAGCCGCAGGGAAACCGAGUCUUAACUGGGCGUUAAGUUGCAGGGUAUAGACCCGAAACCCGGUGAUCUAGCCAUGGGCAGGUUGAAGGUUGGGUAACACUAACUGGAGGACCGAACCGACUAAUGUUGAAAAAUUAGCGGAUGACUUGUGGCUGGGGGUGAAAGGCCAAUCAAACCGGGAGAUAGCUGGUUCUCCCCGAAAGCUAUUUAGGUAGCGCCUCGUGAACUCAUCUUCGGGGGUAGAGCACUGUUUCGGCUAGGGGUCAUCCCGACUUACCAACCCGAUGCAAACUACGAAUACCGAAGAAUGUUAUCACGGGAGACACACGGCGGGUGCUAACGUCCGUCGUGAAGAGGGAAACAACCCAGACCGCCAGCUAAGGUCCCAAAGUCAUGGUUAAGUGGGAAACGAUGUGGGAAGGCACAGACAGCCAGGAUGUUGGCUUAGAAGCAGCCAUCAUU